Molecule: ribosomal RNA, 300 nt
Filed under: uncultured Halobellus sp.
Lineage: Archaea; Methanobacteriati; Methanobacteriota; Halobacteria; Halobacteriales; Haloferacaceae
Description: bacterial SSU rRNA
Rfam family: Bacterial small subunit ribosomal RNA (bases 58-300)
Source: RNAcentral
GUGAAGUACGGGGCAGCGGGGGCGGGAGGACGGAGGUGGCAGUGGUGGGGCGGAGGGAUUGGGGGGAAAGAGCGUGGAGGCGGGUAUGGAGGUCCGCGGUGAAAACGGGAGGCGUAACCUGCAGACGUCGGUGGAAACCUCAUGACGAGAGUCCGGAAGAGGAGAGUGGAAUUCCUGGGGGAGCGGUGAAAUGCGCAGAGAUCAGGAAGAACACCCGUGGCGAAGGCGGCUCUCUGGGACGGUACUGACGCUGAGACGCGAAAGCGUGGGGAGCGAACAGGAUUAGAUACCCGAGUAGUC